Molecule: long non-coding RNA, 272 nt
Organism: Corvus hawaiiensis (hawaiian crow)
Lineage: Eukaryota; Metazoa; Chordata; Aves; Passeriformes; Corvidae
Exons: 2
Source: RefSeq, a predicted model, not a curated record
UCCAUUCCCACCCCAAAGCAAAUCACAGAGGAGUUUUGAGAGAAAAGCUCCUGUAGCCCAAAUCCAAGGAAGGUAUUAAAAGGAGAAGAUAACAGCUUACCAGAGGGUGAGAUGCUGACACAGUUGCUGCUUCUCCCUGCCUCACCAUUAGUAAAUGGAAGACUGGAAAGCCUAAAAAGUGAGAAGUGACAAGCAACAAGGUGACUAACUUCGAGCCAAGUUUUUCUCCUGUUCUGCUGGACCAUAGCACUACUCCAACAGUAGGAUAUAGG